This 468-nucleotide ribosomal RNA is filed under the name uncultured bacterium. Its description in RNAcentral is "partial 16S ribosomal RNA". It matches the Rfam family "Bacterial small subunit ribosomal RNA", at positions 28 to 507 of the family's 1533-position model. The record is from RNAcentral.
GACGAACGCUGGCGGCGUGCUUAACACAUGCAAGUCGAACGGAAAGGCCCUGCUUUUGUGGGGUGCUCGAGUGGCGAACGGGUGAGUAACACGUGAGUAACCUGCCCUUGACUUUGGGAUAACUUCAGGAAACUGGGGCUAAUACCGGAUAGGAGCUCCUGCUGCAUGGUGGGGGUUGGAAAGUUUCGGCGGUUGGGGAUGGACUCGCGGCUUAUCAGCUUGUUGGUGGGGUAGUGGCUUACCAAGGCUUUGACGGGUAGCCGGCCUGAGAGGGUGACCGGCCACAUUGGGACUGAGAUACGGCCCAGAAUCCUACGGGAGGCAGAAGUGGGGAAUAUUGCACAAUGGGCGGAAGCCUGAUGAAGCAACGCCGCGUGCGGGAUGACGGCCUUCGGGUUGUAAACCGCUUUCGCAUGUGACGAAGCGUGAGUGACGGUAAUGGGUAAAGAAGCACCGGCUAACUACGUG